Molecule: ribosomal RNA, 497 nt
Filed under: uncultured bacterium
Lineage: Bacteria
Description: partial 16S ribosomal RNA
Rfam family: Bacterial small subunit ribosomal RNA
Source: RNAcentral
AGUGAACGCUGGCGGCAUGCCUUACACAUGCAAGUCGAACGGUAACAGGUCUUCGGAUGCUGACGAGUGGCGAACGGGUGAGUAAUACAUCGGAACGUGCCUAGUAGUGGGGGAUAACUACUCGAAAGAGUGGCUAAUACCGCAUGAGAUCUACGGAUGAAAGCAGGGGAUCGCAAGACCUUGUGCUACUAGAGCGGCCGAUGGCAGAUUAGGUAGUUGGUGGAUAAAAGCUUACCAAGCCGACGAUCUGUAGCUGGUCUGAGAGGACGAUCAGCCAAACUGGGACUGCGACACGGCCCAGACGCCUACGGGAGGCAGCAGUGGGGAAUUUUGGACAAUGGGCGAAAGCCUGAUCCAGCAAUGCCGCGUGCAGGAUGAAGGCCUUCGGGUUGUAAACUGCUUUUGUACGGAACGAAAAGCCCCGGGUUAAUACCCUGGGGUCAUGACGGUACCGUAAGAAUAAGCACCGGCUAACUACGUGCCAGCAGCCGCCGUAA